Molecule: RNA transcript, 1678 nt
Organism: Mangifera indica (mango)
Lineage: Eukaryota; Viridiplantae; Streptophyta; Magnoliopsida; Sapindales; Anacardiaceae
Gene name: probable E3 ubiquitin-protein ligase RHB1A
Exons: 7
Source: RefSeq, a predicted model, not a curated record
AAUUGCAUAAGCGUUAAUAAGGUCACUUGCAGAGGAGUAUUUUUCUCUUUGGUCAUUAUUAAGAAUGAUGCAAAUGGAUGCGUUAUGAGAGGAGCGCAAAUUGUGGAAGAAAGUACAAAACGACAACAGCGCAAAAGAAUGGAUAUAUAAAACGCCAAAAAAAAUUCCUUCUUUCCACCGACCCGAAUUCUGUCUCUGUCUCUCGCUCUGCCUCUAUACGUGUGCCCCAGUAGGAGGAAAUAAUGCACCAACCACUGCUUGUAUUGUGUGGAUAACAGAAUAAUUGCAGGGAUGGGAGGUUGUUGCUGUUCUUCCAGGAAACCCCAUCUACCCGGAAGACCUGUAUACAACCAUUGUCCAGCAGCUUUGGAAGAGAAGGAGGCAUUAACAUCUCACAGUGGCAUAGUCUCUACCUUUAGAGGAGGACUCCUGAUUGAUUUUCAUCUGGAAGCAUCAACACCUGACACUUUCCGACCCCCUCCUGCACCCUUACCAUAUGAUGUUGUUUUCGGAUGUCUAUCAUCAACAGAUUCAGAGUCUGUUGAAGAAACAAUUAGUGGCAGUAGUUUUGAAACAUCACCCAAACAUGAAGAUCUUGAAGAAUUAGACUGCAAAACUCAAGCUAGUUCUUUGCUUAUCUCACCAAGGAAAUCAGAAGUUGCGAAAUUAAAUGAAUCCAUUGUGGCGGAAGAGGACACCUGUCCCAUUUGUCUUGAAGAAUAUGAUAAAGAGAAUCCAAAACUUUUCACUAAAUGUAAACAUCAUUUUCAUCUCUCAUGCAUUUUGGAGUGGAAUGAAAGAAGUGACUCCUGCCCCAUUUGUGAUCAGGUUGUAAUUUAUCUUGAAGAUUGAACUGUUCAAGAUGUCGCUUUUUUAGUGGGUUAGUCCUAAGUAAAGAAACAAAGUUUCAACUCCGCAUGGUAGCUGAUUUUCCUCCUUUAUGCCCAUUUCAUUGGUUGAUUUGAGGUGGAAGAAUGAUGCCAGCUGCACUGUUGUUGGGGAUAAAUCUGAUAUAUCUCAUUUGCAGAAAACAGAAAUGCCAUAUUACUCUGCAUCUCAUUUCACCUUAUGGAAAUACCAUUUUCUUUUAAAGAAGAAAUUUUCAUUGGUUUCUCAUAUGCAUGAAUGGUCUAAGCUUCUCCUCCCCGACUUUGCUAGAGGAUGUUGAUGCUACAUCAAGAAGUUGGAUGAAGCUUGUGUUUUAUUAUAAACUUAAGGAAAAACCUUUUCAGAAUUGCCACAAUUGGAGCCAUUUUCUGCAGUUCUCUUAAGGCAUUUACAGGAAAGAAAUCUGGUUUUGCAGAACCUGUGGCUUAAGGCCCAAAUAGUUUCAAAAGCUAAUACCAACAUACCUACCAGGUAGUUGCUACCUGUUAUCAUUUACUUUCUUGAACAAGUUCCAAGGAUGGUUCUACCGAAAUUUUGGCAAUAUUUCAGUGAGUAAAAAUAUGUACACUUAUAAAGAAUAAUAAUUUUUGUAUUAACAAUCAUAUGUUAUUAUGUGAUUAGUGUUAUUUUAUUACUAAUCCAAAAUCACGUAAUCACAUAGUAACGUGUUAUUUUUAGUACAUAUAGUCUUACUCCCAUCCCACAAAACUUGUUUACCUGAUAUAUUGUCACUGGCUCAGAAGCAUGUAAAACCCAGUAUUUGAAAAUAGUUAAAAGUGUCUGCCUACAA